CCUACGGGUGGCAGCAGUGGGGAAUAUUGCGCAAUGGGCGAAAGCCUGACGCAGCGACGCCGCGUGAGGGAUGAAGGUCUUCGGAUCGUAAACCUCUGUCAGCAGGGAAGCACGGUCACUGUGCUAAUCAGCAGUGAAUUGACGGUACCUGCAAAGGAAGCACCGGCUAACUCCGUGCCAGCAGCCGCGGUAAUACGGAGGGUGCGAGCGUUAAUCGGAAUUACUGGGCGUAAAGCGCUCGUAGGCGGUAUGUUAAGUCAAGGGUGAAAUCCCCGCGCUCAACGUGGGAACUGCCUUUGAAACUGGCAGACUGGAGUGUGUGAGAGGAUAGUGGAAUGCCAGGUGUAGGAGUGAAAUCCGUAGAUAUCUGGAGGAACAUCAGUGGCGAAGGCGACUAUCUGGCACAUAACUGACGCUGAGGAGCGAAAGCGUGGGUAGCAAACAGGAUUAGAUACCCCAGUAGUC
RNAcentral lists this ribosomal RNA (465 nucleotides) under uncultured bacterium. Its description in RNAcentral is "partial 16S ribosomal RNA". It matches the Rfam family "Bacterial small subunit ribosomal RNA", at positions 338 to 795 of the family's 1533-position model. The record is from RNAcentral.